AGCGAAAGGAAAAAAAGGGCUACCUGGCACACGGCGUCUGUGUAAAGUGUGUGCGCGUAAGUAGCGAUCCAGUCGCUCCGGCGGCUUAUCACGUCGUUGUCCGGUAUCGUUGUCGUAGCCGCGUUUUUCGUCUUUCUCAUCUUUCCUUACAUCGCCUCUGUGCAGUUCGACGUAUCUGCGCUUCACGAAUAUCUCAAGACCCCUCUCCCGAUACACGCGCACACACAACUUACUGAGCCAAACACGCGUAGGUUGACUCCACGCCGCGCGCGCGUCCUUGCGCGGUUGUUCUGCGCCCCGUCGAUUCACGCUCCCGCUCUGAGCAAGGGAAAGAGUGUGGGAAGGGAAGCAGAUCCACACAGAGGACCAGCUCACCCCCAUCCCCUCCCCUCCUUCCACGACAAAACUCUAUCAUCAGGCGCGCACUCGUGUGCAGCGCUACAGGGCGCCCUUUCGUGUGCGUGUGUGUGUGCGUGUGCGAAGCGCGAGUAGCGAGCUUGUGAAGCGGAGCAGAGCAACACGCAGUCCCCGCCGCUGCCGAGUAUCGAGGGCCCUUGGGAAACCUUCUUGCGCUUCCAAGUGGAGUGCGGAGUCGUUCGCGCCGCGUGCACACAAGCCGGAGGCACGCAAUGAGCUGCCCCGCCGAUGCCGCCAAAACUCGGACAGCGAAGUGCGCACUUCCACUUCCGGCGCCUCCACUGUGCGAGGGCUGGCUCGAGAAGUUCGCGCUGUGCCGCGGCAUGUUCACCAAGAAGGGGUGGCGCCGCCGCUACGCGUUUGCGACUCAUGAGGGGCUCGGCCUGUGCCACGCAAACCCGCGCGACAAGGGCAGCGGCCUCGCUGGACGCCCACUACAGAUGCUGCACGCCAAGUCGUUUAUUCCGUUUGUGAAGAAGCGGAAUGGCGAGGUGGAGCUGCAGCCGGUGUACGUUGUCGACGACGUCAGCGCCGCGCGGCACCCCGAGGCGCCGCAGAAGAGCCACAACGGCAUCUGUAGCGAGACGGUGUCCCUGGCUGAGGGGGGCAGCAGCACCGCCUCCUUGCGCGACCUGACGAGCAACGGCAGCAAGUGUACUUACUACUACUUUGGGCUCAGCUUUGAGGAGCACCGCAAGCGAUACCUGCUGCUGCUCCGUACCUCCUCGCCGCAGGAUUACAUCAUGUGGACCACCUAUUUGCCCCUGUACGUGCACGAGGGCAGCGCGUCGAGGAUUGUGCCAAUGGGCCAUCCGUUAGAGGCCGGCCGCCCGCAGCCGAUCGACCUCAACUACAGGCGACUGACUGAGAAGCGCGAAUCGAUGCUGCCGAGCACGGUCACCUUCUACAUCGACCCCGACCCGUGCACCGUCGACGAACAUGUGAAGGUCCGCCGCUUGUGCCUCGACUGGGACGAGGGCGAGCGUCGACGGCUCUUCACCUCCGCCGUGGACCGCGUGCGCUCGCUGUGCGGGAUUUCUGAGAGCACCGCGUCCGCGAGCAUCGCCAAAAUGCAGGACAAGAGCGAGGAAGAGUACCGCAAAGUCGUAUCCUCUCUGUUCGAGGAGCUGUCCCCGGCGGUGCCCGAGUCCGAGGAGAAGCAUCCUCCGUGCCACAAAGACAAAAGUAUACCCGAGCGUGGCGUUGCCGCAACCGCUAGCGUAGGGGUGGCCGCGCGCAGCGCCGGCGCGGCGCACCCGCCCGCGACGCGCAUCGACACGGCCGAGGGUGCUGCCAACGAUUUGAACAUGAGAGAGAGCUCAAAGCAGUCGGCUAGUCGACGCUUCUCUUCUAGCCUCCUGGUCGGUGGUGACGGCGCUGGCAGUGGGGGCAAGGAAGUGCGCAAGCACCCGAAACUAGAGAACGGUGGCACCGCUGCCUACUCGAGUCUGAAGAUCUAGCGAGCAGCAACACAGGCUGUGCGUGUGCCGUCAAAGGAGGAAGGAGGCAAACUAUGCGCCAUUCAUAUUCGGAGCGAUACGGUCUCUCUGUCUCUCUCCCCCGCUGCUUCCGCUUCCUCGUUGUCUCAUCUCUGCCCGCCUUCCUGCCAUGUGGGACGUCGUCGCUGAGGAGAAUGGCACCGUACCUUCAUUGACUCUGCCCGUCGGCUUUUGAUCACGUUGGCUGCCUUUGGGCUGCAUUCCCACGUGUGGAAUAUGUAGAAGCCCCUCCACUCUCCCUUUAUCUCUUCCCCCCACCCCAGCAUGCGCCAACGGUGGGCAGAGGGCUCUCACUACGGGCUGGGGCAAGGUGCGCCUUCGUCUUUCUGAUGCCUUUAUAUAUUUUUUCUUUGUCUGUUCGCACCCUCGCACCCACAUCCUCUACCUCACACAGGCAUCUGCGUAUAUGUGUGUGUGUGUGUGUGUCGACGUCUCCUCCGUUCUGGAGUUGUUGUCAUCUGCUGUUAUUAAAAAAAAACGUGUUUCUUUCUCCUGUCCAGUGUGGCCCUUUCUGUUCAUGUUGUUGUUUGUUUAUGGAGCCGACGUGUCGCGCUUCACCGACAUCGCGUGCCGUCGAGUGUGCUAGUGUGCCGAUUCAUAUAGGCCGUAUGCUUGCUGCGUUCCACCCACACCCUUUUUCUGCUCCAGCGCGGCCCCUUCAGGCGGGUGGCACCUCUUCGUAUCUUGUGCGUCUCCGCUGUUUUUUUUUUCCUUCGGGGCGGGAGAGGGCUGUUCGUGAGCGUGUGCGUCUCACGAAAGACGGGAGGAGAGGGGGGCACCUCAGCGCGUAGUACCACAAAGGCUCCAGUGCGCCUACUCGGUGUGGGAAAAGGCCAGGCAGAGCCCCUCUAUCCCCUGCUAAUGCUGAACCACUUGUGGUGGUGACAGAGCCAUGCACCUACGACGCAGGGCAGGUCAGAGCGCUGCAUCGCUGCAGAUAUCGGCGGUCAGGUCCUGGAUGACGUGGCGUCGGAGCGACGUGCGGCAGUGAACAUGUUUGUGCCAUCCACAUGCUGAGCGAAAGGUCGGCGUGACCGGAAUGUGCCUCUCACCCGGCCCUCGCACUGCCCACUGGUGGAUGCAGCCUGAGCGCCACCCUCGAGGUGUGUGUGCACCAGGUGGCGACCGGCCUGACUGGGAGCGGCUGUGAUGCCGCCCUGCCCAGCAGGUGGGUUGGCAGAGUGUGGGGCGGAUGCCGUGCGCAGAUGACUGAGUCGGCACAUCGCUGUAACACAGCGUGCCUGAAACUUCCUCGCCCCGCGUGAUGGGGGCCUGUGACCGGCGUGGUGGAGUGAGGCCCAGGCUGAUGCUCUAUCUCAGAGGAACAGGCGCGCGACCAAAGAAUCGAAAAGCGUCUCUUUUGGUGCGCAUGGGCGUGUGUAUGUCACUCGUGCCGUUUAUGCGUUGCUGUUUUUUUUUUUCGCGUUAAUACUUUCAUUUCCGUGAUUAUAUUGCCAGGUGCGCUGUUUUCUCUCUGGUGUGGCUCGUAAGCGCUUGUGUGCUGCUCUCUCGGCAGCGCGACAGACGAACUGCGAAGCUGCAACCUCCUCUGCUGUCUUAGUGCUCCCUCCCGCGCCGCUCAAGCGGGCGGUGAAGUAGUCGUCUCACGCGUGUCUCUGGGCAUGAAGGUAUGUGGAUGUAAUGCAUUCGUCUCUGUGUCGGGGUUCCCCUGCCGCAGGAGUGCAGUUCGGAGGGACUGGAAAAGGCGAAGGUAAGGCGGCAAGGGAGCACGGCGGGUGUAGGCGAGGAAGAAAGGAGACGGUGCCCCCGCUCGGAGUAGGUGGCGAGCGGUGAUGUGAGCGGGACGAAAGCGAAGGACGCAGAGUAAGUGGGACGGUGACCUGCCUAGCUUAGCGCCUUAUUAUUAUCAUUUGUGUAUGUUCUGUUUGGUUCUGUUUUUUUCGUCAUCGACUUAUGUGUUUGGUAGCAUAGCACCCCACCCCACCCCGGCCUGGACAGGGCUUGGGGAAGGGCGAGAGGAAAAAAGAGAGGGAGUACGUUGCUGUGCACGAGCGAUGCACGAGGGCAUAUACGUCCUCCCUCCCCUCCUCCCUCGAAGCAAAGCCAACACUCGCACCGGCAGGCGCACACACACACACACGCAUUCAUUUUACCGCACGCUUGCACCAAUGCGUGCAUGUAUAUGUGUAUGCGUGUGCGCACCUCUGUUGCGGCACGAAAAGGAACCCUUCUGUUCUUCGCACUUCCUAUACACACACACACACACACACCUUCCACUCCACCAG
Molecule: unclassified non-coding RNA, 4162 nt
Filed under: Leishmania donovani
Lineage: Eukaryota; Euglenozoa; Kinetoplastea; Trypanosomatida; Trypanosomatidae
Description: gene:LdHU3.25.1100(CDS-product:hypothetical_prote in_conserved)
Source: RNAcentral